GUCUGGUCACGUGACCCGAGCCGGCUCCUAGCUCCCUGCACCCAGCACCCAGCACCCGACCGCGGCGUUGCGAACCGGCUUCGCCAUUAAUGUAGGGGACAGCUGCCUAGCGACCAGGGGCUGGUCUCACUCACUGACACAUAACGGAGAAGGGAGAAGUGGCGGCAGGAAGAACUGAAAUAAGUGACUGAACAUGCCCAAAUGGUCCAUCUGUUCGAGUGGAUUACUGCACGUUUCAAAUGGGUUAUCAGCCAUGUGAACUUUAGGAGUUUUGGAUAGUAAUUCCACUUAUGUGAUACUGCCAUGGCUACAAGAAUUUCCCUACAUCCUGAACUGCCUUACUCUUCAUUAGAACAUAGGAGGUAUAUUGUAACUUCAGACAAAGGCAGUAUGCGACGUCCAACAGCCAAAUAUACCAAAGUUGGAGAACGCCUGCGGCAUGUUAUCCCAGGCCAUAUGCAAUGCUCAAUGGCAUGUGGUGGUCGUGCAUGCAAGUAUGAAAAUCCAUCCCGAUGGAGUGAAGACGAGCAAGCUGUUAAAGGGUUAUACUCUUCAUGGAUAACUGACAACAUAUUGGCAAUGGCUCGUCCUUCCACGGAAGUUAUUGAAAAAUACAGCAUUAUUGAACAAUUUCAAAGGCAUGGCAUAAAGACGGUAAUUAAUCUUCAGCGUCCUGGGGAGCAUGCACGCUGUGGUAAUCCACUGGAACCAGCAAGUGGUUUUACCUACCUACCAGAGGUAUUCAUGGAAGCUGGAAAUUAUUUUUAUAAUUUUGGAUGGAAGGACUAUGGUGUGGCUUCUCUUACCACAAUCCUUGAUAUGGUCAAAGUUAUGGCUUUUGCCCUACAAGAAGGAAAAGUGGCGAUUCACUGUCAUGCUGGACUUGGAAGGACAGGAGUCCUGAUAGCAUGUUACCUAGUCUUUGCAACAAGAAUGAGUGCAGACCAAGCAAUAUUGUUUGUUCGUGCUAAGCGGCCAAAUGCAAUUCAGACUCGUGGACAGUUGUUAUGUGUGCGGGAAUUUUCCCAGUUCCUGAUUCCAUUACGAAAUGUAUUUUCCUGUUGUGAUCCAAGAGCUCACGCUGUUACAGUUUCUCAGUAUCUCAUUCGCCAGCGCCACCUGCUGCACGGAUAUGAAGCACGGCAACUCAGACAUGUCCCAAAAAUAAUUUAUUUGACCUGCAAAUUGUUAUUAGACUUUGCAGAAAACAGGCAAUUGAUUGAAGAAGGUAAUAUAGAAAUCCCAGAUCUUACAGCGGAAAUUGAAAAAACAGUAUCACAGUUGGGGGUAGUGCAACUGGAUAAAGAAUUUGACGGCCAAGGCUUUGAUAUGGGCGAUCAUUUUGAGCACACUGCGACUGAAUUUAUUCCCAAUGAUUCGGGAUUGAUGAACGAGCAAGAAUUUGACCCUCUUUGGAAACGGCGUAAUGCAGACUUCCUUCAGCCCUUGUCCCACUUAAAAAAACGUCUCAGCUAUAGUGAAUCAGAUCUUCAGAGAGCUGAACUCUUUACAGAGCAAAAUGAAACACCUUUUACAGCACCUACCCAGGUUGCUUUCUCCAGCAAGUUCCAUCAGCAAAGUUUGUCUCAGCUCAAUCUCAGACAGCCCAGUCCAAAGCCAGUGGACACAAAUCAGAUCAGCUCAACUGUUCUGAAAGUACCAGAUCUUUGUCUUAUUAAGCAAAGUCCAUCAUUUUCUUUUAAAUCUAGUCUAUGGGAAUAUCAAAAAUCUUGUAAUGCAAAUGACCAAAAAGUGGAAUCUCCUCUUUUUGUAAGGAGAAAGCUAUCAAAGGAAAUCCACAGAACAUUUUCCUUAAGAUCAUCAACUACAGCUGCUGCACUGAAAUAUUUGAUCUCUGAAGCACCUGAUACAGUUAUCACUUCUCAUGGCACUAGUGACAUUAAUGCGGAAGAAUGUACCAGGAUCAUUGCCCCCAGUAAACAGAAUGCCAGGCCUGCUCAGGAACGUUUAUUCUCUUCUUCACUUAGCAAAAAAUCAACAGAUAAAGCUUCUUUAAAUCACAAAAAAAUGUUUGUGAUUGGGGAUGAAGAAGGAAAAGCUAAUUGGUCAGCUGAAGAGGUUCCAUGUAUCACUAUACAAUCAGAAUUGAGCAUUGAAGGAAGAAGAUUGGCAGCAGGAAAAGCCAUGGCAUUUUGUAUGGAUUUUGAUGAAGAACUCAUGGAUAAAGUUGAAAUGUGGCAGCGGGAACUAAAUAUCAGAGAAGGAACUUGGGAAAGAAUUCGCACAGAAAAGAAUCCUUAUGUAUUGUGUAGUCUUAUGUGGUCCUGGCUGGAACAGUUGAAAGAACCAGUUAUAAGUAGGGAAGAUGUGGAGACUUUAGCACAUAAAUAUAUGGAUCCCAACAAAGCGUUUUACUCAUUAGAAAAGGGCCAAUAUCAGACACUGCUUUGCAUUCUUGAUUGUAUGGCACAAUUGCGUGACCUGCCGUUUGAUGUAGAAGAUGCUAUACUUACUCGGGCAAUUCGAGCUUUUACUAAGAGCUCCUGACAUAUCUUUUCGGAAAAUAAGCACAAUGGAAAGUUGAUGUAUGUUAAUUUCACCUGAUCUUAAGUGCUGGUGGCCUGACAGGCAAUGAAAGCUGUAGAAUGGUGUAUAACUAGCUGAGCAUAAAUUUCAUCCUUUAUCAAGAUUACGCUGCCUGGCCUGCUGAGUAUUUGCAACAUUUUAUUUUUUUUAUUAAUGUAAAAUAGCUAUUGCUACACUGCCUGAAAUCUUACCAGGUUCCUCCUCAAGUGCAACAAAUAUUAGCAAAAGAUUUAUCGCCUGAAAAGAGAGAGGCAUGUUAUUGAUGCAUCCAGAAGAAACAGAAUCCUAGUUCUUAACAGGAUGUUGAGUCAUGAAUGCUGAAUGGCAUUUGGCAACUAUGCGAGGCAGGUUUGAUGGACCAGAUGAUCUUUACUUGUCUAGUGUUUUCGCAGGUUUGCGUGAUGAGAGAGAAAAAUGUCCACAGUAGAAGGACUAGAAAUCCAUCCUGACCUCUGCAUUGUCAUGAGUGGAAAUAUAUUACAUAAUUACUAUCUGACUCAUUAACUUAUCUUGCUUUACUACACUGUUAACUUUCCAUUGACUUAAUGCCUUGCAUUACACUAUGGCACUGUGUGAUUCCAGUCACAUCAACAGUUAUAUUGGAUUGUUUUAUUACAGCUGACUGUGUAAAUUGUUAUUUCUAUGCAUUUACCAAUCCUACACCAAUAUUUGGAUAUUUAAAGUAAAAACUGUCAUUUCUAAACUUAAGAUUUUUAUGUUUAAAUCCAAAUUUUUGAGUAAAAAGAAUAUUUCAUUAACAGCUAUUUAGCUUUUCUCUUUUGUGCAAUGCUUUCCAACAUUAUAUCCCUCUGCCCCGUUCUGUUCUCUAAUCUUGUCAUGGCUUGGUUUCACUGAUGCAUAAACAUUGUUUGUGGACAUUGGUAUAAAACUAGUUGAUUACAUUGCACUUUUGUCUGUCUUUUUGCUUAAAAAAAGCAAAGAGAGAAAAAUAUUGAUCGAAAUUCCUAUUCAUGAACAGGUUGGGCAAUAUUGUGACAAUAAGGGAUCUCUUUUAUUGAAUGCAAUUUUAAGCUCACAAUAGGUUAUAAUUCAAGGUGUCUAAUCUAGUAGGUUCUUGUCUUUUGCCCCACUGGGAAAUUAAAAACCUUUCCCGACCAUUUAAAGACCUAUAUUCUUGUCUGCAAGCCAGCAGAAGAGAUUUAACAUUUAUAUAUUCCUGCAAAAUUGUCCAUUCUUGUCUAUACACAUUCAGGUUUGCAGAUCUGAUUGAACUUGAAUGCUUUUAAAAAAAAGACACUUGCUUGGGAAAGACUAGGGAUAGCACGUAAACAAUGUCAUUAACACAUGAGGAGUAAAAUUGCAGACUUGAAAAAGGAGCUGCCACAAAGUGCCUCUUUAACUGUUACUCUUGUAUUGCUGCCACUUCAAAUUAUUCAUGCAGCUUUACCUCCUUGUGCUUUCCAUGCAUGAUCAUAACUGUUUUUACACAAAUAAAAGCUACAACAUCCAAUUGAAAUGUUACAACAUGAGUGUCUUGAGACCUUUCAUCCAGUAUAAUGUUCCUAAUGCAACCUAACUACAUGAUGCUUCUUACCUUUUUUGACAAAAGGUUUGGUGCUUUUAGUACUUAUGCCUGCUGCAGAACCAUGCUACUGAACAUGGUAAUGGAUAGAAGGCUGCAGUCUUGAUUUCAGUUUUCUACCCUGAACCUCUUGCUGUUAACACACUGAGCCAGGAACAAAACUUUGUAAAAUUGUCAAAUUCCAACCUGAAUAUCUCCAGCCUACUUUAAGAUUCAAAACGGUGAUAUUUAUGGUUGUAGAGAGCUAGCAGGAGAAUGGAAUUAAUCUAGGUAGCCAUAUGGAAGAAACAUUGACUUUGAUUUUAAGAGCCUUUAUCCUGUCUUUGUACUUCACCACUUGACAUGAUCAUUGCAGAUGCUGAUGUUACUUAAUGGGGAUCAAUAGUAUAAAAUCGUGUUUGAACUGACAGUUAGUGAAUAAAGGUUUCAAAUAGAUUACAGUUAUGUUAACUUUAAAUUAUUUUUGUUUUUAAUAAGUAGAAUGAACUGUUCUGUAAUGUUAACCAUUUGAGGGUGAGUAGACUAAAUAAUUUUCUUCUUUGGGAUUGCCCAGUAUCUUGUAAGUUUCCUCAUGUGGAUAGUCAAAAAUUAUUUCACAUUCUGUAAGACUUUGUUUUGAGUUAGUUUUAUAUAUAGAGAGAAUGUAAAAUCCUAUUCAAUAAGGUUGACGACUCAUGUUUGAACAACAAAACUGCAUUUUAGUACUUGAUUGCUGUAUACCAAAUGGUAACAUACUAAUAUAGUGCAUCGAGGCCAGCAAUUACAUGGGUAAUGCAACAUUUUGGGGAAAAAAAUUCCACACUUGAGAGCUUGUUGAGAAUGAAAGUAUUUCGUUAAGCCAGAAUUAGACACAGUUGAGAGGGGCAGCCAAUUCCUUCACCUUCAGGAAUAAGAUCUACGCAAAUUGGUGUAGAGAGAGGGAGGGAAUACUAAGUUAAGUCAUGCAGUAUGUUUUAAUUCCCAUGACAUUACACUCGCCAAAUGAAAUGAAAAUGCUCAGCUCAGAUUUCUAUCAGCAUUUUUAAUGUAUCUUUAUACUUGUUUUGCAAAAGUUUCUGAAACUGGAAUAAAAUAUCAAAUUGAUGUUAUUUUCAGAAGACCAGUUGAAUUUCAUGGUUUGGAAAGGGAAGUGUUCAGGAUUUAAUGUUUCCAUAUUAAAUUAUAACAUGCUGAGAAGCAGGGGAAGUUGAUGCAGAUAUGCAUGGAUUUCCUUAUUAAGUUUAAAUCUUUUAACAAAUUUUCAAAAGAUUUUAAAAAGUUUAUCUAUUUGAGCUCAUCCAGAACUGCUGUUCAUAUCCUAACAUGCACCAAGUCCUGACCAUGCAUCACCCUUGUGACUCGUUGACAUCCAACCCAGCACAGGUCGAUGUAAAAAAUUUGCAUACUUGUUUUUCAAAUCUGUUUUUGUACUUUAUCCCUUCCCAUCUCCAUUUAACCUAUC
Rhincodon typus (whale shark) is the source of this 5531-nucleotide RNA transcript. It is a transcript of the gene named protein tyrosine phosphatase domain containing 1b, with no coding region annotated. The transcript has 14 exons. The record is from RefSeq and is a predicted model, not a curated record. Lineage: Eukaryota; Metazoa; Chordata; Chondrichthyes; Orectolobiformes; Rhincodontidae.